UUAACUGAAGCCAAACUAGAGGCAUCUUAAUGUUAAUAAGAAUAAUGAUAAAUUUAUUAUCCAGUUAAA
This 69-nucleotide transfer RNA is filed under the name Dindymus rubiginosus. RNAcentral describes it as "tRNA-Asn". Lineage: Eukaryota; Metazoa; Arthropoda; Insecta; Hemiptera; Pyrrhocoridae. The record is from RNAcentral.